RNAcentral lists this ribosomal RNA (432 nucleotides) under uncultured bacterium. RNAcentral's name for it is "partial 16S ribosomal RNA". It matches the Rfam family "Bacterial small subunit ribosomal RNA", at positions 29 to 506 of the family's 1533-position model. The record is from RNAcentral.
AACGAACGCUGGCGGCAUGCCUAACACAUGCAAGUCGAACGAGACCUUCGGGUCUAGUGGCGCACGGGUGCGUAACGCGUGGGAACCUGCCCUUAGGUUCGGAAUAACUCCCCGAAAGGGGUGCUAAUACCGGAUAAUGUCUUCGGACCAAAGAUUUAUCGCCUUUGGAUGGGCCCGCGUUGGAUUAGCUAGUUGGUAGGGUAAAAGCCUACCAAGGCGACGAUCCAUAGCUGGUCUGAGGGGAUGAUCAGCCACACUGGGACUGAGACACGGCCCAGACUCCUACGGGAGGCAGCAGUGGGGAAUAUUGGACAAUGGGCGAAAGCCUGAUCCAGCAAUGCCGCGUGAGUGAUGAAGGCCUUAGGGUUGUAAAGCUCUUUUACCCGGGAUGAUAAUGACAGUACCGGGAGAAUAAGCUCCGGCGAACUCCGU